This 1372-nucleotide ribosomal RNA is filed under the name uncultured bacterium. RNAcentral's name for it is "bacterial SSU rRNA". It matches the Rfam family "Bacterial small subunit ribosomal RNA", at positions 28 to 1381 of the family's 1533-position model. The record is from RNAcentral.
GAUGAACGCUGGCGGCGUGCCUAAUACAUGCAAGUCGAGCGAACGGACGAGAAGCUUGCUUCUCUGAUGUUAGCGGCGGACGGGUGAGUAACACGUGGAUAACCUACCUAUAAGACUGGGAUAACUUCGGGAAACCGGAGCUAAUACCGGAUAAUAUUUUGAACCGCAUGGUUCAAAAGUGAAAGACGGUCUUGCUGUCACUUAUAGAUGGAUCCGCGCUGCAUUAGCUAGUUGGUAAGGUAACGGCUUACCAGGGCAACGAUGCAUAGCCGACCUGAGAGGGUGAUCGGCCACACUGGAACUGAGACACGGUCCAGACUCCUACGGGAGGCAGCAGUAGGGAAUCUUCCGCAAUGGGCGAAAGCCUGACGGAGCAACGCCGCGUGAGUGAUGAAGGUCUUCGGAUCGUAAAACUCUGUUAUUAGGGAAGAACAUAUGUGUAAGUAACUGUGCACAUCUUGACGGUACCUAAUCAGAAAGCCACGGCUAACUACGUGCCAGCAGCCGCGGUAAUACGUAGGUGGCAAGCGUUAUCCGGAAUUAUUGGGCGUAAAGCGCGCGUAGGCGGUUUUUUAAGUCUGAUGUGAAAGCCCACGGCUCAACCGUGGAGGGUCAUUGGAAACUGGAAAACUUGAGUGCAGAAGAGGAAAGUGGAAUUCCAUGUGUAGCGGUGAGAUGCGCAGAGAUAUGGAGGAACACCAGUGGCGAAGGCGACUUUCUGGUCUGUAACUGACGCUGAUGUGCGAAAGCGUGGGGAUCAAACAGGAUUAGAUACCCUGGUAGUCCACGCCGUAAACGAUGAGUGCUAAGUGUUAGGGGGUUUCCGCCCCUUAGUGCUGCAGCUAACGCAUUAAGCACUCCGCCUGGGGAGUACGACCGCAAGGUUGAAACUCAAAGGAAUUGACGGGGACCCGCACAAGCGGUGGAGCAUGUGGUUUAAUUCGAAGCAACGCGAAGAACCUUACCAAAUCUUGACAUCCUUUGACAACUCUAGAGAUAGAGCUUUCCCCUUCGGGGGACAAAGUGACAGGUGGUGCAUGGUUGUCGUCAGCUCGUGUCGUGAGAUGUUGGGUUAAGUCCCGCAACGAGCGCAACCCUUAAGCUUAGUUGCCAUCAUUAAGUUGGGCACUCUAAGUUGACUGCCGGUGACAAACCGGAGGAAGGUGGGGAUGACGUCAAAUCAUCAUGCCCCUUAUGAUUUGGGCUACACACGUGCUACAAUGGACAAUACAAAGGGCAGCGAAACCGCGAGGUCAAGCAAAUCCCAUAAAGUUGUUCUCAGUUCGGAUUGUAGUCUGCAACUCGACUACAUGAAGCUGGAAUCGCUAGUAAUCGUAGAUCAGCAUGCUACGGUGAAUACGUUCCCGGGUCU